CGCGACGCGCAUGCUCAGUCGGGCAGCUCUCCGGGCGGGCGUGGGAGCCCGCGCUCCAAGGCCCGGUCGGGGGAGGGGCGCUCACGCAACCGCCCCUGUCUGGAGGGGGCUCGCCUCUGCGGCAGCGCUCACCGCCCGGGCUUUACUGAAGCGGAGUCUAGCAUGUGUGGCUGCUCCACAGCGGUGGCGGUGGCGGCGGCUCCUCUGCAGCAGCCUCGGCAGUAGGGGUCGCGGUGGCCAAGCCCACCGUGGAGCUCAUCUGAGAGUUGUAAGCCAAGACAAUCCAAAGCAAAAAGAACACAGCUGGAGGCAUCACGCUACCUGACUUCAAACUAUACUGCAAGGCUACAGUAACCAAGACAGCAUGGUACUAGUACCAAACAGAUAUCUAGACCAAUGGAAUGGGACAGAGGCUGCAGAAAUAACACCACACACCUACAACCAUCAGAUUUUUGACAAACCUGACAAAAACAAGCAAUGGGGAAAGGAUUCCCUAUUUAAUAAAUGAUGUUGGGAAAGCUGGCUAGCCAUAGGCAGAAAACUGAAACUGGACCCCUUCCUUACACCUUAUACAAAAAUUAACUCAAUUUUAUUAUGUUGUAUUAAAUUAAGUUGGAUUUAAUUAAGAUGGAUUAAAGACUUAAUUAUAAGACCUAAAACCAUAAAAACCCUAGAAGAAAACCUAGGCCAUACCAUUCAGGACACGGGUAUGGGCAAAGACUUCAUAACUAAAACACCAAAAGCAAUGGCAACAAAGUCCAAAUAGACAAAUUGGACCUGAUUAAACUAAAGAGCUUCAGCGCAGCAGAAGAGACUAUCAUCAGAGUGAACAGGCAACCCACAGAAUGGAAGAAAAUUCUUGCAAUCUAUCCAUCUGACAAAGGGCUAAUAUCCAAAAUCUACAAAGAACUUAAACAAAUUUACAAGAAAAAACACAAACAACCCCAUCAAAAAGUGGGCUAAGGAUGUGAACAGACACUUCUCAAAAGAAAACAUUUAUGCAGCCAACAAACAUGAAAAAAAGCUCAUCAUCACUGCUCAUUAGAGACAUGCAAAUCAAAACCACCAUGAGAUACCAUCCCACACCAGUUAGAAUGGCAGUCAUUAAAAUGUCAGGAAACAACAGAUGCUGGAGAGGAUGUGGAGAAAUAGGAACACUUUUACACUGUUGGUGGGAGUGUAAAUUAGUUCAACCGUUGUGGAAGACAGUGUGACCAUUCCUCAAAGACCUAUAACCUGAAACACCAUUUGAUCCAGCAAUCCCAUUGCUGGGUAUAUACCCAAAGAAUUAUAAAUCAUUCUACUAUAAAGACACAUGCACACAUAUGUUUAUUGCAGCACUGUUCACAGUAGCAAAGACUUGGAACCAACCCAAAUGCCCAUCAAUGAUAGACUGCAUAAAGAAAAUGGGGCACAUAUACACCAUGGAAUACUAUGCAGCCAUAAAAAAAGAUGAGUUCAUGUCCUUUGCAGGGACGUGGAUGAAGCUGGAAACCAUCAUUCUCAGCAAGCUAACACAAAAACAGAAAACCAAACACCACAUGUUCUCACUCAUAAGUGGGAGUGGAACAAUGAGAACACAUGGACACAGGGAGGGGAACAUCACACACCAGGGCCUGUUGGGUUUAUAGGGGGCUGGGGAAGGGAUAGCAUUAGGAGAAAUACUUAAUAUAGAUGACGUGUUGAUGGGUGCGGUAAACCACCAUGGCACGUUUAUACCUAUAUAACAAACCUGCAAGUUCUGCACAUGUAUCUCAGAACUUAAAGUAUAAUAAUUUAAAAAAAGAAAAAAUGUAAAAAAAGAAAUUAAAAAGGGGAGUUGGAGCAUAGAAGAAAGAAAAUAAAUGCAAUUUGAAGGGCA
Molecule: long non-coding RNA, 1861 nt
Organism: Gorilla gorilla gorilla (western lowland gorilla)
Lineage: Eukaryota; Metazoa; Chordata; Mammalia; Primates; Hominidae
Exons: 2
Source: RefSeq, a predicted model, not a curated record